Long non-coding RNA from Mya arenaria, 1693 nucleotides. RefSeq lists it as uncharacterized. Lineage: Eukaryota; Metazoa; Mollusca; Bivalvia; Myida; Myidae. The record is from RefSeq and is a predicted model, not a curated record. The transcript is spliced from 7 exons.
AAAACAUUGCUUCAGUUUACUGCUGCGGCUUAAACGGGAAGUAACGCAUUUAAAUUAUAUAUAAGAACAAAUUAUCAAAAGUUAAGUAUUUAAAAUAUCCAAACUUAUUUUUUGUCUGAAUUUAAAGGUGAUUGAUAAUAAUUUUCCAAGACAAUGGAAGUGAGGGUAUACUGGUUGUGCAUGUUGUCUUAAGCCUCACUUUGGUGCAAGACACAUCUGCCUGGACUGGACACAUUACACCAAGCAAAAGAGAGGGUCUCUCUACAUGCCGUCGAUGUAUCGCCCAGUACCACUGGGGUUGUAGCCUUUGGCGGACAUUUAAAUGCAGUACAUGGAUCACAAUAUACCGGUGUGCUGAUGGAUGGACGCAUAACGGAGAUAACAAUUGCAUCAUACCAAUCUGCCGCACAAGUUGUAAGAAUGGCGGGGUUUGCAUUGAACCAGACAUAUGCGACUGCAAAGGAAUAGCAAGCGGACAAUAUUGUGAAACAGUCCAUGUGCAUUCAAACGUCUGCAUUCCGCGAUGCUUCAACGGCGGGGUUUGUAUUGGACCAGACAUCUGCGACUGCAAAGGAUUGGCAAGCGGGUUACGUUGUGAAACAGUUAUCGCAACAAAAUCUACUGAUGUUGAGCGCUCUAACCAAUAUCCUCCUACGAAGCGACAGACCACUGCAGCAGACAACAACUCUUCAAUUUUGAAAUAAAAAUAAUAUAUGUUACUAAAUGCAUGUACUAAAUAUGUAGUUCUUCAAUAAUGCAAUGAACUCAUUAUUCAUUUAUAGAAAUAUUUUACUUCAGAACUUUUGAACUUUAUUUUGGAAAAACAAAAAUCUCAUAGUAUGUGCUGAAUUUACGAGCAACACAAAAAUAAUAUUCACGUUAUCAUAGAUAGACAGCGUUUAGACAGUAUAGACCAGAUUUCGGCUUCUGAUAGCAUUAUUGAAAUACGAGUUUGGAUUUUGUUGUUCAAUGAUUUUUAAUGAGAGUAUUUUCCUGUGAAUUAACUGACUAUGUAUAUCUAAAAAAGAUGAGUUUAAUUCAUUUUAUAGAAAUAUUCUACUUUAUUCUUCUUGACUGUAUUCAGUUAUUUAUCCGGGACAUGUCAGCUCAUCAAAUACUUUUUUCUGCUACAAAGUACACCACAACACAGGACUAAUUACAAAUUUACACCAACACUAGUUAUUGACCACAUUUUAAAUCGAUUGAAAAUACCACGGGAUGACCGGUUUGGAAGCUUAUGCUUCCUUUAUCUUUUCUGUAAAGAUGCAAGAUGAAUAUACAUGUAUCUACUACAUGAGACUUAGAAAACGCACGUGUAGUGCAUGCGUUAACGCUUGAUAAUGCGUAUUGCAUUCUCCAAUAUUCAGUCAAAACGAAACUGAAUAUUUCCAUCAAAGGUAGCUAUCAUUAAUAAGAACAAAACGUACACGUUUUUAAAAAAAUAACUUGAAGAAUUCGUGACUUCAAUGUCAGUAGUUCAUGCUUCGUUAGUUUAAGUUUUGAACUUAUGUGCUCAUAAAUAGAACUACUGAAAUUGAAGUGAAAACUAUCGUAUUGAUAAAAUGUAUUUGAUAAAUAUGUACGUGUGGACGUCCCUUUCCCCUGAUAGAUGAAGUUGUUCGUUUUGGGUUAAUAAUGUAUGUUUUGAAGGUAACACAUGCAGUCAUAUUAAAACACAGAUGUUGUCUUUUUC